UACACCAAGUGUUAUAUAGGGCA
RNAcentral lists this non-coding RNA (23 nucleotides) under Arabidopsis thaliana (thale cress). Lineage: Eukaryota; Viridiplantae; Streptophyta; Magnoliopsida; Brassicales; Brassicaceae. The record is from RNAcentral.